This 229-nucleotide long non-coding RNA is filed under the name Sorghum bicolor (sorghum). RNAcentral describes it as "long non-coding RNA (SBIC_LNC016278)". The record is from RNAcentral. Lineage: Eukaryota; Viridiplantae; Streptophyta; Magnoliopsida; Poales; Poaceae.
GCCCCACAAUUUGGACAACUGUCUAAGUCUUUAUACUGAUCAUCGCGAUAUAGAAUACAAUAAUUUCUACAUGCGUGGAUCUUCUCAACACAUAUCAUAAGUGGACUGACUAGCUUCUUUGCAUAGUACAUAUUAGCAGGCACUUUGUUCUGCUUAGGAAGAAUGUCUCCAAGUACAUGCAAUAAAUCAUUGAAGCUAGCAUCGGACCAACUAUGUCUAGCCUUUAUCG